GAAAUGCGAUAAGUAGUGUGAAUUGCAGAAUUCAGUGAAUCAUCGAAUCUUUGAACGCACAUUGCGCUUCCUGGUAUUCCGGGGAGCAUGCCCGUUUCAGAAUCAUUAAAAUCUCAUAAUACUUGCUUUAUGUUAACACAUAUGACAAGUUUGUGGAUUUUGGAUGGUUUGUCAUUUGGCAAUCAUUUAAAAUUGAUUGUAUGUGCUCCAAUUGCAUGUGUCUUUUGGGUCUCUAAAGUGCAACAGAUUAUAUCUAUUCUCUUUGGGCCUUAAAGAUGUACAUUGGUGCAUGUAUCCAAAGUUAUAAUACAGGAGCUAUGCUGUAUGUAUAGUUUCUGAUAACUUGGUCUGAAAUCGGGCAAGAAAACCCGCUGAACUUAA
RNAcentral lists this unclassified non-coding RNA (381 nucleotides) under uncultured Chytridiomycota. RNAcentral's name for it is "sequence contains ITS1". The stretch from base 1 to 105 matches the Rfam family "5.8S ribosomal RNA", at positions 50 to 154 of the family's 154-position model. Lineage: Eukaryota; Fungi; Chytridiomycota. The record is from RNAcentral.